CCUACGGGAGGCAGCAGUGGGGAAUAUUGCACAAUGGGGGAAACCCUGAUGCAGCGACGCCGCGUGAGUGAAGAAGUAUCUCGGUACGUAAAGCUCUAUCAGCAGGGAAGAAAAUGACGGUACCUGACUAAGCAGCCCCGGCUAACUACGUGCCAGCAGCCGCGGUAAUACGUAGGGGGCAAGCGUUAUCCGGAUUUCCUGGGUGUGAAGGGAGCGUAGACGGCAGCACAAGUCUGGAGUGAAAUCCCGGGGCUUAACCCCGGAACUGCUUUGGAAACUGUGCGGCUGGAGUGCAGGAGGGGUAAGCGGAAUUCCUAGUGUAGCGGUGAAAUGCGUAGAUAGUAGGAGGAACACCGGUGGCGAAGGCGGCUUACUGGACUGUAACUGACGUUGAGGCUCGAAAGCGUGGGGAGCAAACAGGAUUAGAUACCCUAGUAGUC
RNAcentral lists this ribosomal RNA (440 nucleotides) under uncultured bacterium. RNAcentral's name for it is "partial 16S ribosomal RNA". It matches the Rfam family "Bacterial small subunit ribosomal RNA", at positions 338 to 795 of the family's 1533-position model. The record is from RNAcentral.